Molecule: ribosomal RNA, 324 nt
Filed under: uncultured eukaryote
Lineage: Eukaryota
Description: partial 18S ribosomal RNA
Rfam family: Eukaryotic small subunit ribosomal RNA
Source: RNAcentral
CCCUUAGAUGUCCUGGGCUGCACGCGCGCUACACUGAUACAUUCAUCGAGUGUUUCCUUCUCCGAAAGGAGUGGGUACUCUUCUGAACGUGUGUCGUGAUGGGGAUAGAUUAUUGCAAUUAUUAAUCUUCAACGAGGAAUUCCUAGUAAGUGCAAGUCAUCAGCUUGCGUUGAUUACGUCCCUGCCCUUUGUACACACCGCCCGUCGCUCCUACUGAUUGAAUGUUCCGGUGAAUAAUUCGGACUGCGGAUGCAGGGCUUGUGCCACUGUGUUUGUAGGAAGUUUGGUGUACCUUAACAUUUAGAGGAAGGAGAAGUCGUAACA